RNAcentral lists this ribosomal RNA (526 nucleotides) under uncultured bacterium. RNAcentral's name for it is "bacterial SSU rRNA". It matches the Rfam family "Bacterial small subunit ribosomal RNA", at positions 776 to 1297 of the family's 1533-position model. The record is from RNAcentral.
GAAAUAGAUACCCCCGGUAGUCCACGCCGUAAACGAUGAGUGCUAAGUGUUAGAGGGUUUCCGCCCUUUAGUGCUGCAGCUAACGCAUUAAGCACUCCGCCUGGGGAGUACGGCCGCAAGGCUGAAACUCAAAGGAAUUGACGGGGGCCCGCACAAGCGGUGGAGCAUGUGGUUUAAUUCGAAGCAACGCGAAGAACCUUACCAGGUCUUGACAUCCUCUGCCAACCCUAGAGAUAGGGCGUUCCCCCUUCGGGGGACAGAGUGACAGGUGGUGCAUGGUUGUCGUCAGCUCGUGUCGUGAGAUGUUGGGUUAAGUCCCGCAACGAGCGCAACCCUUGAUCUUAGUUGCCAGCAUUUAGUUGGGCACUCUAAGGUGACUGCCGGUGACAAACCGGAGGAAGGUGGGGAUGACGUCAAAUCAUCAUGCCCCUUAUGACCUGGGCUACACACGUGCUACAAUGGAUGGUACAAAGAGCUGCGAACCCGCGAGGGUAAGCUAAUCUCAUAAAGCCAUUCUCAGUUCGGA